Molecule: ribosomal RNA, 460 nt
Filed under: uncultured bacterium
Lineage: Bacteria
Description: partial 16S ribosomal RNA
Rfam family: Bacterial small subunit ribosomal RNA
Source: RNAcentral
CCUACGGGAGGCAGCAGUGAGGAAUAUUGGUCAAUGGACGGAAGUCUGAACCAGCCAUGCCGCGUGCAGGAAGACGGCCCUAUGAGUUGUAAACUGCUUUUGUACAAGGGUAAACCUGAAUACGUGUAUUCAGCUGAAAGUACUGUACGAAUAAGGAUCGGCUAACUCCGUGCCAGCAGCCGCGGUAAUACGGAGGAUCCAAGCGUUAUCCGGAUUUAUUGGGUUUAAAGGGUGCGUAGGCGGAUUGAUAAGUUAGAGGUGAAAUGUCCGAGCUUAACUCGGGAACUGCCACUAAUACUGGUGGUCUAGAGAGUAGAUGCGGUAGGCGGAAUGUAUGGUGUAGCGGUGAAAUGCUUAGAGAUCAUACAGAACACCGAUUGCGAAGGCAGCUUACCAAUCUAUAUCUGACGUUGAGGCACGAAAGCGGGGGGAGCAAACAGGAUUAGAUACCCUAGUAGUC